GAUGAAGAACGUAGCGAAAUGCGAUACUUGGUGUGAAUUGCAGAAUCCCGUGAACCAUCGAGUCUUUGAACGCAAGUUGCGCCCGAAGCCAUUAGGCCGAGGGCACGCCUGCCUGGGCGUCACACGUCGUUGCCCCCCCAUCUACUCCUUCGGGAUUGCGGGGGGCGGAUGAUGGCCUCCCGUGCGCCUCGCCGCGCGGUUGGCAUAAAUGCCAAGUCCUCGGCGACGCACGCCACGACAAUCGGUGGUUGCGAAACCUCGGUUGCCCGUCGUGUGCGGUCGUCGCGCAUCGAGGGCUCGAAAAAAUUGCCGGGUUCCGGCUCGGCUUUCAACGCGACCCCAGGUCAGGUGGGGUUAACCGCUGAAUUUAAGCAUAUCAAUAAGCGGAGGA
Molecule: unclassified non-coding RNA, 391 nt
Filed under: soil metagenome
Description: partial contains 5.8S ribosomal RNA, internal transcribed spacer 2, and large subunit ribosomal RNA
Rfam family: 5.8S ribosomal RNA (bases 1-122)
Source: RNAcentral